Molecule: RNA transcript, 6141 nt
Organism: Ictalurus furcatus (blue catfish)
Lineage: Eukaryota; Metazoa; Chordata; Actinopteri; Siluriformes; Ictaluridae
Gene: dyrk1b
Gene name: dual-specificity tyrosine-(Y)-phosphorylation regulated kinase 1B
Exons: 12
Source: RefSeq, a predicted model, not a curated record
AUAGAUAUAGAUAUAGAUAGAUAUAUUGACUACAUAUGUAACAGAGUAUAUAUAUAUAUAUAUAAUUAUAAAACAUAGAUAUAUAUUGCAGAGUCGUAGUUUGAAUAUGUAUAUUAUAUUUUUUAUGAGCGUCGUUGCCUAAAAGCCCAAUCCAUUGCCUUAGAUUUACCGUAAUAAAGAGAAAAGCACGGACAGAGCACGGAAACAGCGUUGGGAGAAACGAAUGGUGCCUUUUUUUUUCGUUGGUCUGUGUCGUCACUUCAGGAAUUCGCUAGCGAUCGAGGAAUACUUUUGUCAUCACUGACUUUCAGUUCGAAUCCAGCACUAUCGGAUAUACACACGCUUUCAUCCGAGCACGUGGAUGGGAUUAUCCUGACGACCGCCCCCCCAACCCCCCAAAAAAGUGAUUGUUUCGUCGUUUUUAUUUUCUUAAACUAUAAAACCAACAAACUUGAUUGAUGUAAUUCUUCGAAGGAGCUCCACACAAAAGCCUUUCCGAUGGUGAUCACUUCAUCCGUGGAGGAGAAGCCGCAGCCUUCUAACAGAAUGGUCGCCAACCUGUCGACCGACACCUGGGUCGGCAACUCGGAUCAGAGUCGCUACGUACCGCAGUCUCACCUGCUCCGGAAGCCGUCCAAAAGUUCAGGAUGUAUGCCCCCCUCCUCGUCCCUGUGUUUCUCCCCCGCUGAGCGAAACAUGUCGAGCCAGCACACUCAUCCUGGAUUAAGCAACAUCCAGUCCAUGGCAGAACAGCAGCAGGUGCUGUCUGAUAUGACCAUUCUGCAGAGGAGGAUCCCCCCGAGUUUCAGAGACCCCGCGAGUGCGCCGCUCAGAAAACUCUCCGUCGAUCUCAUCAAGACUUACAAGCACAUCAAUGAGGUGUACUACACUAAAAAGAAGCGACGUGCGCAGCAGGUUCCGCCCGAGGACUCGAGCACCAAGAAAGAGCGGAAAGUUUACAACGACGGCUACGACGACGACAACUACGACUACAUCGUGAAGAACGGGGAGAAGUGGCUCGACCGCUACGAAAUCGACUCGCUCAUCGGCAAGGGCUCCUUCGGACAGGUGGUGAAGGCGUACGAUCACCACGAGCAGGAGUGGGUGGCCAUCAAGAUCAUCAAGAAUAAGAAAGCCUUCCUGAACCAGGCGCAGAUCGAACUCCGGCUCCUCGAGCUCAUGAACAAACACGACACCGAGAUGAAGUACUAUAUAGUCCACCUGAAGCGCCACUUCAUGUUCCGUAAUCACCUGUGUUUGGUGUUUGAGCUGCUCUCCUAUAACCUGUACGAUCUGCUGCGUAACACUAAUUUCCGGGGCGUGUCGCUCAACCUGACGCGGAAGUUCGCUCAGCAGCUGUGCACGGCGCUGCUCUUCCUGGCCACGCCCGAGCUCAGCAUCAUCCACUGCGACCUGAAGCCCGAGAACAUCCUGCUGUGUAACCCCAAACGCAGCGCCAUCAAGAUCGUCGACUUCGGCAGCUCCUGUCAGCUCGGGCAGAGGAUCUAUCAGUACAUACAGAGUCGGUUCUACCGUUCUCCCGAGGUGUUGUUAGGAAUGCCGUAUGAUCUGGCCAUCGACAUGUGGAGUCUCGGCUGCAUCCUGGUGGAGAUGCACACGGGGGAGCCACUGUUCAGCGGCUCUAAUGAGGUGGAUCAGAUGAAUAAGAUUGUGGAGGUGCUGGGCGUUCCUCCGAACCACAUGCUGGAUCAGGCACCUAAAGCACGCAAAUACUUCGAUAAGCUCUCAGACGGCCUGUGGACCGUGAAGAAGAACAAGGACAUAAAGAAGGUACUUUAUCCUUCAGCCUCCGAGUAUAAACCUCCCGCAACCCGGCGUCUCCAUGAGAUUUUAGGGGUGGAGACCGGGGGUCCCGGGGGAAGGCGGGCUGGGGAGCAAGGCCACGCCCCUUGCGAUUACCUGAAGUUUAAGGACCUGAUCCUGCGCAUGCUGGACUACGACCCCAAAACGCGCAUCACGCCGUUCUACGCCCUGCAGCACAACUUCUUCAAAAAGACCACAGACGAGGGAACAAACACCAGCAGCUCCACCUCCACCAGCCCGGCCAUGGACCACAGCCACUCCACCUCCACCACCAGCUCCGUGUCCAGCUCUGGUGGAUCCAGCGGUUCUUCCAAUGACAACCGAAACUAUCGGUACAGCAACCGAUACUACAACAGCGCCGUCACACACACGGACUACGAGAUGCAGAGCCCGCAGGCUCCGUCUCAGCAGCAGUUGCGUAUCUGGCCGGGCAGUGACAGCAGCGACUCGUCGUACCCACAGCUCCUGCUGCACAAACCCGCCGCCACGCAGCAGCGCCACUUCCUGGGCGGAGCUGCCAUGAUGGAGACGCUGCACCCGCACCCCGUCUACGGCCGCCAGCUUCGCCAGCAGGGUCCGGCCCAGGGUCAAGGGUCGCAAGUUCAAGGCUCGCAAGGCCAAGGCUCGCAAGGUCAGGCGAUGAUGUCAUCGCCGCCACCGUCGUCGCAAGUGCAGGACAGCAUCGAGCUGAGUCUCGGCGGCCAUCAUCAGCAUCACCACCAUCACCAAUUGGCUCAGUCUUCCUUGGCUCCGCCCCUUUCUCUUCCUCCGUCGAGCCUGGACUCCAGCCAGUACGGCUCCUCCAACCUCCACCUGGGAAUCUCCGCCUUUCGGACUAGAACGGCCUCUCAGACGCAGCAGAUCGCACAAGCCCCGCCCACUCAGGACAGCAUGGGCUACGUCCCGCCCUGUUACCCCGGAAACAACAAUAACAACCCACCACAGGGAGGCGGGGUAAUCACCGGAGCACCGCCCAGAGGCGGGGUUAGACCCGAUUCGUCGGAGGAUUCCAUCAUGAUGGGAGGCGGGGGGGGCGGAGGCGGGCAGAGCGCGGCCAACUCUUGAUAAAUCUUGAACAAAUUACGCAAAGCCAUACACGAAAAAAUUGAAAAAACAAAAAAAUUUUAACGUAAAUGAUUUAAAAAACAAAAAACAAAAAUACACAGACAUGUAGUACACACACACACACACACACACACUUUCAAAAACACCACACGGAGAAAAAACUUGUGAAAAUUUUCAUUUUUGUUUGUUUUUGUUUUGCAUGGGGAGGAGAAGAGCGAGAAGGAAAUAACAUUGUUCAAUUCUUUUGUUUUGUUUUGUUUUUGAAUGAAGUGAGCGGAGGGUUACGUUACGCCGUCAGAGAGCUUCAGAAGGCUGCUUCUCGUGACUGGGAUUCAAACCUGCGACCUUGAAGGCAACAGGACCUCCAAAACUACCUUAACUCUCUCUCACAUCAGUAACGAUGACUGCUGUCCUUUCUGUUGCGGUUGAAACUUGUAAUCGGCCGACACGGCUGCUUUACUUUGUAUUUUCUCAACGCCAUCCUUCAUGAGAAACAUCAUGUCUGAAGUAUUAUCACAUCAUCGGUUUUUUGGUUUCUCUAUUAAAGAGAAAGUUGCCUCUAAUCUCACGUGGAGAAGUUCAUCACACUGGCUCUGUAUGGGGUAUUAAAGUGUUAAAGCCGCUGAAACGCGCACGAUGUUUCCCCGCGCGCGGCCUCCAGGUUAGCAUGGUGCGCUAAACGUGCCCAAGUGUGCAAAUCCUCCCACGGUCGGGGUUCAUGGAGUUGUUCAGGCUGAGCUCCAUCCACAAUCACUUUCCUCCAACAUCAGAAUCAGGGGACGGGGGCGUGGCCUACCUAAAGUCUGGAGGCAGAGCUUGUACAUCCAUCAGAGGUUUUAUUGGAUGAUAAAGAGUAAAGCCAUGUGUGAGGAUUCAGACAUGUAGUUAUGUUUAGUGCACUGUGCUAAUCUGGUGGCUGGACGUUUCUGCCACUUGUUAGCUACGUUAACGGUGUAGCUCAUGGUGGACAUCGUGGACAUUUCAGUCUCGGACACACUGCGGCUUUCGGAACACGACCGCAAGUUCGUAAGAAUUCACACAGACGAACUGUAUGAAAAGUUACGAGGGGUUCAGUUUUGGCAGUGGGCGGGGCUUAGCUGUCAUAGCUUCCAGUUGUUAGUUAUAUCUGAUAUCAUGACGCUCCUGCUUUCAGUUCAGGAUCCUAUGUAGGGUGCCUAAGUAGGGAGUCUCAUUUAUUUAGCACAAGGAUGGAGUGUUUUUCUUAAUCCCUAUUCAAACGGGAUUAGUUUUCCAGACGCGUGUACGUUCGGUAUGUCGCAAGACGACGUCUGUAGAAGUCUGAUUGAUCGACAUACGAUGAGUGAUGAAUCUGGAUAAAUCACGGAGGUGGGCGGGUCUUCACCGCCUCAUUUUAAUACACACACAUUGUCUUGCUUGUUAAUUAUAAGCCCUUGUUGUUGGGGGCGUGGCCACGCGUGAUCAUUAAUAGGUCACGUCUGUAGGAACUCAGUAACUCCAGGAAUUUCAUUACACACAUCCGUGUGGAAACCUAAUCCGGUCUGAACAGGGUUUAUUCCGAACAAAUAUGAAGAAGAAGGAGCACGAGUUUGAGACGCGAGGUGGACAAUACCGUGUUUAGAAAGACUUUCGAAUGGAACAGACUUUUCCUCCCUACUUAGGCAACGUCCCAACGAAUAAAAUCACUCCUUAAAUACGAUUUUAUAAUAACGAUGGCACACGUGUGUGUGUGUGUGUGUUAGAAUUCUUACGAAUUUGCCACGUGUGAAACAUGACGUUUAUGAGAAUGUCAGCAUGAUGAUGUCGGUCAGAUGUUCCAGGUCUAAUGGGAAACGAAGGAACCUCAGAAACCUCAGAAGAUGGACGUCUUGGUCUUCAUCAUCGCCGCUUCAUCGCUGCUUCUGUUUAAACCCAAACACACCGAGGAGAUGUUUCUGACUCUCAUGGUGUUUCAGAGUUUAUUACCUGUCCGGGAAACUGACACUCCUGAGCUAGCAAACAGCAAACGUGUGACACGUGAACACCACGCUGGAAAGGAUCACAUCUUACACUGCAAAACACAAUGCAUAAACUGUAGAAAAGUAUUGGCACCCGCUCAAAUCUGUCCAAUAGUGUGAACAGACCACCGCAGAUACGUUUGGGGGUUUAAACACCUCAGCGUCGCUGCUCAGCUGAGGUAUUUAGCAAGAAAAGAUAUCUUGAAUAAAGGCUAAUUUAAUGAACGUUUCUUUAAUCGUUAUCAGAUUGUUUUUAAGCACGAUGUAAAACCUAUUUCUAGAUAUUUAAAAAAUAAUAAUUUACAUGAAUUCAAGUUUGUUUAUAGAAAGAAACACAAUGAUCGGCCGGUAAAACAAGACCGUUGUAAGCUUGAAACGAGUAAAUAUGUCUAGAAACAGGCUUAAUAAUAAUCUCAUAUUUGUUUAAAAAGAAAGAUUUAAGAGCUUCGUCAUAAACAAGCGCUCGCUGCACGUUCUAAUGGAGUAGAAAAUCAAAUACAAACAAUACGUUAAAAAUCAUGUUAAAAAUACAUUUAAAACAAAUAUGUCAGAUGAACACACUGUACUGGGAAAAAGAUGAGCUUCAGUCAAUAACUGAACAGAUAGAAGGUGUGUAGUAAAGUCAUAUCUGUUCAGCGGUGUGUGUGCUGUUCCCUUUCCAAUGGUGGAUGUCCAGGAUGUCCGGUGUGGCUGCGGGUUUUCUUUCCAAACGAUCAGAAACUGCACUUGAUGACCCACAGGUUCUCAUCCCUGGUCUUGUAGAACCUCCUGUCCUGUACAUUUUAGUGUUUUCAGAUCAAUUAGCUGAAUCUGGUGUGUUGAAGCAGACACGCCCAAUGUGCAGGACAGGAGGUCCUCCAGGACCAGGGCUGGGAACAUGAGGACCAACUUGAAGUGUGGCUUCUGAUUGGUUAGACUGAAACCCUUCGACGAUACAGAACUAAGGAUGGAAUAGAGGGGUGCCAAUACUUUACAGCACGAUGGAGGGACUACAGUCAGUAAUUGUCCACUUACAAAGCGGCCUUAUAUGAAAGUGGAGCUGUGUAAAGCAGCUUCCGAGACGUAGAGAACGUCUGUGUGAUGUUAGAUAGGUAACGAGAAGCAAGUGUGAAACGCUGAUCAGCGUCAACAGCUCUGAAGAAAACACUUCUGCUCCAGUCUUUUACCAGAUCAUCAUCAUCGGGUCUGAAAGUGGGGUUUGUGAUUCUUUCUUUUCUUUUUUUAAGUAAGAAAACUGCUACAGUGGUAGAACAACCAAUCACAACCAACCAUUAAU